Molecule: long non-coding RNA, 738 nt
Organism: Sceloporus undulatus (fence lizard)
Lineage: Eukaryota; Metazoa; Chordata; Lepidosauria; Squamata; Phrynosomatidae
Exons: 3
Source: RefSeq, a predicted model, not a curated record
GGAGGGGCUGCCUGGAGCCGCCCGGGCCUCAGCCGCCCUCCUCCUCCUCGGCUGGGAGAGAGGCCCAGGGUCCGCUUCCAGAGAGCCCCCGCCGCCUUGGAGCUGUGGGCCAUGGAGCAGCCAAGAGCCUCGAAUUUCCAUGGAUUACAACCCACUUCCUCCGAGGUACAGACAGCGAGAUGGGAAUCAUGCAGACCAUCAGCAUUCUUCAACAUUACAGCAAUAGCAAGAAGAGGAAAAACUGCAACAACAUCCUCUCCCCAUUUGCCCUUUAUGAUGAAGAAUAAAGAAGACACUGAAUUUGUCCCUUCCAUCACCAUCACAAUGUAGCUGUUUUUUGUUUUAAAUCCCACAAGUUUUCCCUACAGGGAUAAAGGCAGCUUGGGAGGCCAGCAAACUUGAUCAUGGUUCUUGAGAGGAAGGAUUAGUCACUUUGUGUAGAAGGCAAAUUCAAUCUCUGCCCCAAAUGGGCACAAGAGAAUUGCUGUUUUGAAAAGAAAAAUAUCUCAAACCAAUUUCUCGCUGCAUCUCUAGGACUUAGCACUUCAGCAGGCUUUUUUUUAAGAUGAAGAAUAAAACCAUUUGUCCCAAGGAUACACAUAUUGCCCAAUUUGUACCAUAAACAGAAAUACUCCCAAAUGCAUACUGGGUUAAUAAUCCCUGCAUCUGUUGUUGUUGUGUGCCUUCAAAUUGUUUCUGAACUAUGGCAACCCUAAGGCAAACCAAUGAUGGGGUUUC